CAUAAGAAGAGCGAGGCGGUGGCGGCGCUGACCCCACGGACCCUGGCGCGGGGGCGGCUGCGACCUCGGCCCCGUGACGCGUGUGCUGGGGGGAGGGGGGGGAGUGGGUGACUCGGGGGUGCGGCGUGCCAGACCCCCCCACCCCUCCCCUCCCCUCCCCUCCCCCACUCACCUUUGUUGCCUUGGCCCUUGGGUCUCUGCAGCGGCGGCGGAGGAGGAGGCGGCGGCGGCGGCGCGGACAUGCAAGAGAAAAGGCAGAGGCGGCGCUAUGAAUCUUAUCCUACGAAUCGAUGACUCUUUUCAUACCAAAAAUUAGUUACAGGUUUUUCUGGAGUCUCGUCUGCUUUCUUAAAGAAAGUGUCCAAGGAAGCCUGGGCAGAUGUUCUCCAGGGAGAUGGGCGAUGUAACGAACUUGUUCGCUGGCACGGUGUGGCAUUGGAUCAAGUGUUGUAAAGUCAAAACUGAUGUCAGAAAGUUGAAACAGGGUGUCAAUUUAUAAAGGUUGUAUAUGCAAAACAUUGUAACUCAACAUGUUGUAAAUUGAGGACUGCC
Long non-coding RNA from Alligator mississippiensis (American alligator), 552 nucleotides. RefSeq lists it as uncharacterized. The record is from RefSeq and is a predicted model, not a curated record. NCBI's taxonomy places the organism in Eukaryota, Metazoa, Chordata, Crocodylia, Alligatoridae. The transcript has 3 exons.